UACGUAGGGGGCAAGCGUUGUCCGGAUUUAUUGGGCGUAAAGCGCUCGCAGGUGGUUCGUCGCGUCGUGCGUGAAAGACCCCGGCUCAACUGGGGGGUGUCGUGCGAUACGGGCGGACUGGAGGCCAGUAAGGGGAUGCGGAAUUCCGGGUGUAGUGGUGAAAUGCGUAGAUAUCUGGAGGAACACCGGUGGCGAAGGCGGCAUCCUGGACCAAUUCUGACACUGAGGAGCGAAAGCCAGGGGAGCAAACGGG
This 253-nucleotide ribosomal RNA is filed under the name uncultured bacterium. RNAcentral's name for it is "partial 16S ribosomal RNA". It matches the Rfam family "Bacterial small subunit ribosomal RNA", at positions 524 to 776 of the family's 1533-position model. The record is from RNAcentral.